CCUACGGGAGGCAGCAGUAGGGAAUCUUCCGCAAUGGGCGAAAGCCUGACGGAGCAACGCCGCGUGAGUGAUGAAGGUCUUCGGAUCGUAAAACUCUGUUAUCAGGGAAGAACAAAUGUGUAAGUAACUGUGCACAUCUUGACGGUACCUGAUCAGAAAGCCACGGCUAACUACGUGCCAGCAGCCGCGGUAAUACGUAGGUGGCAAGCGUUAUCCGGAAUUAUUGGGCGUAAAGCGCGCGUAGGCGGUUUUUUAAGUCUGAUGUGAAAGCCCACGGCUCAACCGUGGAGGGUCAUUGGAAACUGGAAAACUUGAGUGCAGAAGAGGAAAGUGGAAUUCCAUGUGUAGCGGUGAAAUGCGCAGAGAUAUGGAGGAACACCAGUGGCGAAGGCGACUUUCUGGUCUGUAACUGACGCUGAUGUGCGAAAGCGUGGGGAUCAAACAGGAUUAGAUACCCUGGUAGUCCACGCCGUAAACGAUGAGUGCUAAGUGUUAGGGGGUUUUCCGCCCCUUAGUGCUGCNGCUACGCAUAAGACACUCCGCCGUGGGAGGUACGACCGCGAGGUUAGUAACGUACGAAGUAGAAGUUAGUACGGACGUGAGACGUUGCCGACGGACGACGACGAGGGGAGGUAGGG
This 638-nucleotide ribosomal RNA is filed under the name uncultured bacterium. RNAcentral describes it as "bacterial SSU rRNA". The stretch from base 1 to 544 matches the Rfam family "Bacterial small subunit ribosomal RNA", at positions 338 to 873 of the family's 1533-position model. The record is from RNAcentral.